Molecule: ribosomal RNA, 483 nt
Filed under: uncultured bacterium
Lineage: Bacteria
Description: bacterial SSU rRNA
Rfam family: Bacterial small subunit ribosomal RNA
Source: RNAcentral
AUGAAACACUCCUACGGGAGGCAGCAGUGGGGAAUUUUGGACAAUGGGGGCAAGCCUGACGGAGCAACGCCGCGUGAGUGAAGAAGGUCUUCGGAUCGUAAAGCUCUGUUGACGGGGACGAACGUACGGAGUGCAAAUAGUGCUCUGCAAUGACGGUACCUGUCGAGGAAGCCACGGCUAACUACGUGCCAGCAGCCGCGGUAAUACGUAGGUGGCGAGCGUUGUCCGGAAUCAUUGGGCGUAAAGGGAGCGCAGGCGGGCAUGUAAGUCUUUCUUAAAAGUGCGGGGCUCAACCCCGUGAUGGGAAAGAAACUACAUGUCUUGAGUACAGGAGAGGAAAGCGGAAUUCCCAGUGUAGCGGUGAAAUGCGUAGAUAUUGGGAGGAGCACCAGUGGCGAAGGCGGCUUUCUGGACUGCAACUGACGCUGAGGCUCGAAAGCCAGGGGAGCGAACGGGAUUAGAUACCCCUGUAGUCCGAAGUUC